UUUUGCCGACCAACCAUGCGCUUCCAGAUUCAUCAGAAUUAUUCCACUGAGGUGGAGGCAGCCGUCAGCCGCCUAGUCAAUGUGUACCUGCAGGCCUCCUACACCUACCUCUCUCUGGGCUAUUUCGACCAUGAUGAUGUGGCUCUGGAAGGCGUGGGCCGCUUCUUCCGCGAAUUGGCCGAGUAGAAGCGCAAGGGCUACGAGCGUCUCCUGAAGAUGCAAAACCAGCGUGGUGGCCGCACUCUCCUCCAGGACAUCAAGAAGCCAGCUCAAGAUGAGUAGGGUAAAAUCCUGGACGCUAUGGAAGCCGCCAUGGCCCUGGAGAAAAAUCUGAACCAGGCCCUUUUGGAUCUUCAUGCCCUGGGUUCUGCCCCCAUGGACUCCCAUCUGUGUGACUUCCUGGAGAGUCACUUCCUAGAUGAAGAAGUGAAAAUCAUCAAGAAGAUGAAUGACCACCUGAUCAAGCUCUGCAGGCUGGCCGGCCCACAGGCUGGGCUGGGCGAGUAUCUCUUCCAAAGGCUCACUCUCAAGCACGGCUAAGAGCCUACUGAGCCCAGUGACUUCUAAAGGGCCCUUGCAAAAUAACAGGGCUUCUGCCUAAGCCUCUCCCUCCAGCCACUAGGCAGCUUUCUAACUACCCUAACAAGCCUUGGACCAAAUGGAAAUAAAGCUAUUUGAAACAAAAAAAAAA
Sapajus apella (tufted capuchin) is the source of this 691-nucleotide RNA transcript. It is a transcript of the gene named ferritin light chain pseudogene, with no coding region annotated. The transcript has a single exon. Lineage: Eukaryota; Metazoa; Chordata; Mammalia; Primates; Cebidae. The record is from RefSeq and is a predicted model, not a curated record.